This 244-nucleotide ribosomal RNA is filed under the name uncultured Staphylococcus sp. Its description in RNAcentral is "partial 16S ribosomal RNA". It matches the Rfam family "Bacterial small subunit ribosomal RNA", at positions 96 to 334 of the family's 1533-position model. The record is from RNAcentral. Lineage: Bacteria; Bacillati; Bacillota; Bacilli; Caryophanales; Staphylococcaceae.
CGGCGGACGGGUGAGUAACACGUGGAUAACCUACCUAUAAGACUGGGAUAACUUCGGGAAACCGGAGCUAAUACCGGAUAAUAUAUUGAACCGCAUGGUUCAAUAGUGAAAGACGGUUUUGCUGUCACUUAUAGAUGGAUCCGCGCCGCAUUAACUAGUUGGUAGGGUAACGGCUUACCAAGGCGACGAUGCGUAGCCGACCUGAGAGGGUGAUCGGCCACACUGGAACUGAGACACGGUCCAG